CCCCUUGUAGAAGACAAGGUUGAUAGGCUGGAGGUGGAAGCGCCGUGAGGCGUGCAGCUGACCAGUACUAAUCGGUCGAGGGCUUAUCCUA
RNAcentral lists this ribosomal RNA (91 nucleotides) under Tumebacillus sp. BK434. RNAcentral describes it as "partial 23S ribosomal RNA". It matches the Rfam family "Bacterial large subunit ribosomal RNA", at positions 2834 to 2925 of the family's 2925-position model. Lineage: Bacteria; Bacillati; Bacillota; Bacilli; Caryophanales; Alicyclobacillaceae. The record is from RNAcentral.